RNAcentral lists this unclassified non-coding RNA (423 nucleotides) under Hevea brasiliensis (rubber tree). The record is from RNAcentral. Lineage: Eukaryota; Viridiplantae; Streptophyta; Magnoliopsida; Malpighiales; Euphorbiaceae.
AGAACUUGUCGCAGCCUUCCUGCACCGUGACAAAGGACGAGAUGCCGCGUGCGCGGAUCAUCGCCGGUUUCGGAUCGGGCAACGAGGCGAACUUGUCCUCGACCGGGAACUCCGUCUNNNNNNNNNNNNCGGCCGCCGGUCUUGGCCUUAGCCAGCAGUUGCGGCAGAUGAUGAUAGCUCUGCGGGCCGACCACGACAUCGACGACGGGCGCGCGGCGGAUGAUCUCGCUGCCUUCGGCCUGCGCGACGCAGCCCGCCACCGCGAUCCGCAUCUCGCGCCCGUUGCGCGCUGCUUCGUCCUUGGCAGUGCGCAGGCGUCCGAGCUCCGAAUAGACUUUCUCGGACGCCUUCUCGCGGAUGUGACAGGUGUUGAGGAUCACAAGAUCGGCGUCGUCGGCAUUUGCCGUCUCGACGAAUCCUUCG